Molecule: ribosomal RNA, 253 nt
Filed under: uncultured Dysgonomonas sp.
Lineage: Bacteria; Pseudomonadati; Bacteroidota; Bacteroidia; Bacteroidales; Dysgonomonadaceae
Description: partial 16S ribosomal RNA
Rfam family: Bacterial small subunit ribosomal RNA
Source: RNAcentral
UACGGAGGAUGCGAGCGUUAUCCGGAUUUAUUGGGUUUAAAGGGUGCGCAGGCUGUUUUUUAAGUCAGCGGUGAAAGUUUGAGGCUCAACCUUAAAAUUGCCGUUGAAACUGGGAAACUUGAGUAUAGAUGAAGUAGGCGGAAUUAGUGGUGUAGCGGUGAAAUGCAUAGAUAUCACUAGGAACUCCAAUUUCGAAGGCAGCUUACUAAGGUAUCACUGACGCUGAGGCACGAAAGUGUGGGUAUCAAACAGG